UAGAGUUUGAUCAUGGCUCAGGAUGAACGCUGGCUGUAUGCCUAACACAUGCAAGUCGUACGAGAGUUUUUAACUCUAGUGGCGGACGGGUGAGUAACACGUGAGAAUUUGCCUUUAGGAGGGGGACAACAAUUGGAAACGAAUGCUAAUACCCCAUAUGCUUUCGAGUGAAAUGGAUUUAUAUUUAUCCGCCUAGAGAGAAGCUCGCGGCUGAUUAGCUUGUUGGUAAGGUAAGAGCUUACCAAGGCGACGAUCAGUAUCUGGUUUGAGAGGACGAUCAGACACACUGGAACUGAGACACGGUCCAGACUCCUACGGGAGGCAGCAGUGGGGAAUUUUCCGCAAUGGGCGAAAGCCUGACGGAGCAAUACAGCGUGAGGGAAGACUGCCUAUGGGUUGUAAACCUCUUUUUUCAGGGAGGAAUAAAUGACGUGUACCUGAAGAAUAAGCAUCGGCUAACUCCGUGCCAGCAGCCGCGGUAAGACGGAGGAUGCAAGUGUUAUCCGGAAUCACUGGGCGUAAAGCGUCUGUAGGUGGUUUAAUAAGUCAACUGUUAAAUCUUGAGGCUCAACUUCAAAAUCGCAGUCGAAACUAUUA
This 597-nucleotide ribosomal RNA is filed under the name uncultured bacterium. RNAcentral's name for it is "bacterial SSU rRNA". It matches the Rfam family "Bacterial small subunit ribosomal RNA", at positions 1 to 638 of the family's 1533-position model. The record is from RNAcentral.